CCAUAGCGUAUAUUAAAGUUGUUGCGGUAAAAAAGCUCGUAGUUGGAUUUCUGUUGAGAGCGACCGGUCCAUACCAUGUAUGCGUAUCUGGCUUGCUCUCGGCAUCCUCUCGAUAGACGUUACUGCGCUUGAUUGCGUGGUGCGGAUCUCGGGACUUUUACUUUGAGGAAAUUAGAGUGUUCACGGCAGGCUUUCGCCAGAAUACAUUAGCAUGGAAUAAUACUAUAGGAUCUUGGUUCUAUUUUGUUGGUUUCUAGAAUUGAGAUAAUGAUUAAUAGGGACAAUUGGGGGCAUUCGUAUCAACACGUCAGAGGUGGAAUUCUUGGAUUGUGUUGCGACGAACUACUGCGAAAGCAUUUGCCAAGGAUGUUUUCAUUGA
Molecule: ribosomal RNA, 379 nt
Filed under: uncultured eukaryote
Lineage: Eukaryota
Description: partial 18S ribosomal RNA
Rfam family: Eukaryotic small subunit ribosomal RNA
Source: RNAcentral